AUAUCGGUGUGUCUGUGAGGGUGUUUGGGGAUGAGAUCAACAGCUGAGUGAGCAGACUGAGAGCCACGGCUGCCCAGACCAUAAGGACGUGUGCCCCCAUCUCUGCUGGAACAUCAUUAGGGGAACAUGCUUGGGUGAGACUAAUGAGGCUGGCUUAGGCUGUGAUGUGGAGGGAGGCUGGUUGGAAUUUCCACCCCGAUAAUGAAGACACACACGGUGCAACUCUCGGGGCUGUUUCCUCCCAGCUGUGGCAGGAGCAACACGGCCUUGGCCUCUGGGGCCCUCUUUGGAUAUCCCACUUGGA
This is a long non-coding RNA of Talpa occidentalis (Iberian mole), 304 nucleotides long. RefSeq lists it as uncharacterized. Lineage: Eukaryota; Metazoa; Chordata; Mammalia; Eulipotyphla; Talpidae. The record is from RefSeq and is a predicted model, not a curated record. The transcript is spliced from 3 exons.